CUACGGGAGGCAGCAGUCGAGAAUAGUCUACAAUGGACGGAAGUCUGAUAGUGCGACGCCGCGUGAACGAAGAAUCCCUUCGGGGUGUAAAGUUCUUUUAUACGUGAGCAGUGCCCUUUAUAUGAAGUAGUAUAGAGGAGGGAUUAAGCAGUAGAUAGCACGUCCC
Molecule: ribosomal RNA, 166 nt
Filed under: uncultured Candidatus Cloacimonadota bacterium
Lineage: Bacteria; Pseudomonadati; Candidatus Cloacimonadota
Description: uncultured Cloacimonetes bacterium partial 16S ribosomal RNA
Rfam family: Bacterial small subunit ribosomal RNA
Source: RNAcentral